CCAACGUGGCCAUCCCGGGAGGUCACUUUCCCCGGGCUCUGUCCUAGUGGCGUAUGGGAGCAUAGGGUACUGCCCGAUGAUGUACAGUCCCUUUCCACAAUGUUGGAGAUGAAGCUGGGCUUCGAGUCUGCGCCUGCAUAUUCCUACGACCUCUCAGAGUCCCGUGGACAGUGACUGAGGAGACAAACCAUGCAGGAAACAAAA
Rattus norvegicus (Norway rat) is the source of this 204-nucleotide small nucleolar RNA. Ensembl annotates it as RNA, U105C small nucleolar. Its record names the gene Rnu105c. Lineage: Eukaryota; Metazoa; Chordata; Mammalia; Rodentia; Muridae. The record is from Ensembl.